This 1213-nucleotide ribosomal RNA is filed under the name Sticta fuliginosa. RNAcentral's name for it is "eukaryotic LSU rRNA". It matches the Rfam family "Eukaryotic large subunit ribosomal RNA", at positions 104 to 1334 of the family's 3401-position model. The record is from RNAcentral. Lineage: Eukaryota; Fungi; Ascomycota; Lecanoromycetes; Peltigerales; Lobariaceae.
CAGCUCAAAUUUGAAAUCUGGCUCCUUCGGGGUCCGAGUUGUAAUUUGUAGAGGGUGUUUCGGGUGCGAUGCCGGUCUAAGUUCCUUGGAACAGGACGUCGUAGAGGGUGAGAAUCCCGUAUGCGACCGGCGAUCAAGCCCGUGCGAAGCCCCUUCGACGAGUCGAGUUGUUUGGGAAUGCAGCUCAAAAUGGGUGGUAAAUUUCAUCUAAAGCUAAAUACUGGCCAGAGACCGAUAGCGGACAAGUAGAGUGAUCGAAAGAUGAAAAGCACUUUGGAAAGAGAGUCAAACAGUACGUGAAAUUGUUGAAAGGGAAGCGCUUGCAAUCAGACCGGUCCGGAGGCGAUCAGCCGCUGCUCGUCAGCGGUGCACUCGCCUGCGAUCCGGCCAGCAUCGGUUUGGGCGGCGGGAUAAAAGUCCCGGGAAUGUAGCUUCCUCCGGGGAGUCUUAUAGCCCGGGUCGCAAUGCCGCCCGCCCGGACCGAGGACCGCGCUUCGGCUAGGAUGCUGGCGUAAUGGUUGCAAGCGACCCGUCUUGAAACACGGACCAAGGAGUCUAACAUCUAUGCGAGUGUUUGGGUGUCAAACCCAGGCGCGGAAUGAAAGUGAACGGAGGUGGGAACCCGUCAGACGGCGCACCAUCGACCGAUCCAGAUGUCUUCGGAUGGAUUUGAGUAUGAGCAUAGCUGUUGGGACCCGAAAGAUGGUGAACUAUGCCCGGAUAGGGUGAAGCCAGAGGAAACUCUGGUGGAGGCUCGCAGCGGUUCUGACGUGCAAAUCGAUCGUCAAAUCUAGGCAUAGGGGCGAAAGACCAAUCGAACCAUCUAGUAGCUGGUUCCUGUCGAAGUUUCCCUCAGGAUAGCAGUAAGGUUUUUCAGUUUUAUGAGGUAAAGCGAAUGAUUAGAGGCCUUGGGGCUGAAACAGCCUUAACCUAUUCUCAAACUUUAAAUAUGUAAGAAGUCCUUGUUACUUAGUUGAACGUGGACAUUUGAAUGUACCGUUACUAGUGGGCCAUUUUUGGUAAGCAGAACUGGCGAUGCGGGAUGAACCGAACGCGAGGUUAAGGUGCCGGAAUGCACGCUCAUCAGACACCACAAAAAGUGUCAAUUCAUCCAGACAGCCGGACGGUGGCCAUGGAAGUCGGAAUCCGCUAAGGAGUGUGUAACAACUCACCGGCCGAAUGAAUUGGCCUUGAAAAUGGAUGGCGCUCAAGC